CAAGAGCGUAUGUAAAAGUUGUUGCAGUUAAAAAGCUCGUAGUUGAACCUUGGGUUUGGUUGGCCGGUCCGCUUUUUUGCGAGUACUGGAUUCAACCGAGCCUUUCCUUCUGGCUAACCAGUCGUUUCGGCGGCUGGCGAACCAGGAUUUUUACUUUGAGAAAAUUAGAGUGUUCAAAGCAGGCAUUAGCUUGAAUAUAUUAGCAUGGAAUAAUAGAAUAGGACGUUAUGGUUCUAUUUUGUUGGUUUCUAGGACCAUCGUAAUGAUUAAUAGGGACGGUCGGGGGCAUCAGUAUUCAGUUGUCAGAGGUGAAAUUCUUGGAUUUACGGAAGACGAACUACUGCGAAAGCAUUUACCAAGGAUGUUUUCAUUAA
RNAcentral lists this ribosomal RNA (374 nucleotides) under uncultured eukaryote. Its description in RNAcentral is "partial 18S ribosomal RNA". It matches the Rfam family "Eukaryotic small subunit ribosomal RNA", at positions 592 to 976 of the family's 1831-position model. The record is from RNAcentral.